RNAcentral lists this non-coding RNA (157 nucleotides) under Rhodospirillales bacterium. Its description in RNAcentral is "6S RNA". It matches the Rfam family "6S / SsrS RNA". From Rfam's summary of the family: E. coli 6S RNA was the first non coding RNA to be sequenced, but its function was unknown until recently. It consists of 184 nucleotides that fold into an extended hairpin structure with a large single-stranded internal bulge. Lineage: Bacteria; Pseudomonadati; Pseudomonadota; Alphaproteobacteria; Rhodospirillales. The record is from RNAcentral.
ACGGGGCUGCGAGGUGCGUCAGGCACGCAUGUUCCCCGGGGCGAUAAUAACUCCUCGGGAGCUGUCCCUAUCGGUGCCCUGGCAUCGACAUACGGCGCCCACCUGCUGUUAGCGGGCCACGGAGGAAAGCAACGUCAACGGCCGCUGCGGCUCCGUC